GUGAUCCCUAGAGUUCCCUUGACCACUUCAUUAGGAAUUAAUUACUUCAUUUUUAAUGUUCUACUGAAGUGUUUUGGGGGAACUCCCGGGUUCAC
Molecule: microRNA precursor, 95 nt
Filed under: Solanum tuberosum (potato)
Lineage: Eukaryota; Viridiplantae; Streptophyta; Magnoliopsida; Solanales; Solanaceae
Description: mir-395 microRNA precursor family
Rfam family: mir-395 microRNA precursor family
About the family: mir-395 was identified in both Arabidopsis thaliana and Oryza sativa computationally and was later experimentally verified. mir-395 is thought to target mRNAs coding for ATP sulphurylases. The mature sequence is excised from the 3' arm of the hairpin.
Source: Rfam by way of RNAcentral